AUCAACGGAAAGCUUUUGGCUAGGGUUUGGUUAGGGUUUGGACUUCCCGCUUUCUUGUUCUUUUGAUGGGGUUUAGAACCCUUUUUCUUCUGUUUUUCUUGGAGAUAAUGAGGUUCUUUUUUGAUGGAAGACUGAUAAGCAGCUGAGGGUUUUCAGGAGGCCCAUCAUUUGCUAGUAUGUUUGAGAUCUUAGUCAGAUUUUGCUUCAGUGAUCUUCACAGAUUCGCUGAUCUUGUCGGAGUCAAACCUUAUAAUGCUAUUCUGGUUAGAUAAAAAUCGGUUGAGAAUGUCUGCAGACCGUCCCAUGUCAGCUUUGAUGCAAAACAUAUCUUUGGCCUAUAGCAUUCAGUAAUGUUCUGCAUAACACAUUUGCUAGCGUUAUAUAUUGUUUGGGACACAGUGUGGGUACUCCUCUUUCAACUAUUUCUAGGUGAAUGCUGUCCAUUACAUCUCCUUCACAUGAGAUGGGUGAUUUGCAGAUGUCUCA
RNAcentral lists this microRNA precursor (486 nucleotides) under Dioscorea bulbifera (air-potato). RNAcentral's name for it is "partial MIR444 transcript variant 2b_1". The record is from RNAcentral. Lineage: Eukaryota; Viridiplantae; Streptophyta; Magnoliopsida; Dioscoreales; Dioscoreaceae.